Acinonyx jubatus (cheetah) is the source of this 754-nucleotide long non-coding RNA. RefSeq lists it as uncharacterized. The record is from RefSeq and is a predicted model, not a curated record. The transcript is spliced from 3 exons. NCBI's taxonomy places the organism in Eukaryota, Metazoa, Chordata, Mammalia, Carnivora, Felidae.
GUCACAGUAAACCUAUUUCUGAGAAAGGCAUUGCCCAAUGUGGCGAUGUCCGCUAUCUUAUGUGGGGUGAGGGCCAGUGAGUCAGGGAGGAAACAUACCAGAAAAUGAUCUUCGAUGACUAACACAGAAGGGGCUGUUCUCAUGUUGCCCUGAUGGAAAAAUUGGUGGGAUUGCAGGAAUUAAUAAGAACUAUCAGCCCUGCUUGGAUAUUCUGUCCUAAAUUGGUGACAUUUCUGGAGGCUGGGAAGUCCAAGAUCAAGGUGCUUGGUGAUUCAAUGUCUGGUGAGAGCCCACUUGCUGGUUUGUAACAGCAGCCUUCUUGCUGUGUCCUUACUCGCUGGAAGAACAAGAGAGCUCUGUGGGAUCUCUUUUAUAAGAGGCUAACCCCAUUUGUGAGAGCUCUGCCUUCAUGACCCAAUCACCUUCCAGAGGUCUCACCUCCCCAUCAUAAUGGAGAACAGCUUUCAACAUACGAAUCUGGGGAGGACACAUUUUGUCUAUAGAUAGCACAGAUGUGAUGGUGUUAGGAGGUGACGUCUUUGGGAGGUGAGAACGUCGUGAGGGUUGAGCCCGCAGGAAUGGGGUCAGCGUCCUGAUAAACCCUUGUUCCUCUCCUACGAUGGGAGGACACAGCGAGAAGAUGGCCAUCUGAGAGCCAAGAAUCGGGCUCUCACCAGAUACCGAAUCUGCCAGCCCCCCUGAUCUUGGACUCACCAGCCUCCCGAACCACGAACAAUAAAUAUUUGCCGUUUAA